RNAcentral lists this ribosomal RNA (642 nucleotides) under uncultured Bacteroidales bacterium. RNAcentral describes it as "bacterial SSU rRNA". It matches the Rfam family "Bacterial small subunit ribosomal RNA", at positions 106 to 743 of the family's 1533-position model. The record is from RNAcentral. Lineage: Bacteria; Pseudomonadati; Bacteroidota; Bacteroidia; Bacteroidales.
GUGAGUAACACGUAUCCAACCUGCCGUUUACUCUUGGCCAGCCUUCUGAAAGGAAGAUUAAUCCAGGAUGGCAUCAUGAGUUCACAUGUCCGCAUGAUUAAAGGUAUUUUCCGGUAGACGAUGGGGAUGCGUUCCAUUAGAUAGUAGGCGGGGUAACGGCCCACCUAGUCAACGAUGGAUAGGGGUUCUGAGAGGAAGGUCCCCCACAUUGGAACUGAGACACGGUCCAAACUCCUACGGGAGGCAGCAGUGAGGAAUAUUGGUCAAUGGGCGAUGGCCUGAACCAGCCAAGUAGCGUGAAGGAUGACUGCCCUAUGGGUUGUAAACUUCUUUUAUAAAGGAAUAAAGUCGGGUAUGCAUACCCGUUUGCAUGUACUUUAUGAAUAAGGAUCGGCUAACUCCGUGCCAGCAGCCGCGGUAAUACGGAGGAUCCGAGCGUUAUCCGGAUUUAUUGGGUUUAAAGGGAGCGUAGAUGGAUGUUUAAAUCAGUUGUGAAAGUUUGCGGCUCAACCGUAAAAUUGCAGUUGAUACUGGAUGUCUUGAGUGCAGUUGAGGCAGGCGGAAUUCGUGGUGUAGCGGUGAAAUGCUGUAGAUAUCACGAAGAACUCCGAUUGCGAAGGCAGCCUGCUAAGCUGCAACUGA